This 732-nucleotide ribosomal RNA is filed under the name Lactarius sanguifluus. Its description in RNAcentral is "eukaryotic LSU rRNA". The stretch from base 253 to 406 matches the Rfam family "5.8S ribosomal RNA". Lineage: Eukaryota; Fungi; Basidiomycota; Agaricomycetes; Russulales; Russulaceae. The record is from RNAcentral.
UUCGUAGGUGAACCUGCGGAAGGAUCAUUAUCGUACAACAUGUGUGAGGCGUGCGAGGGCUGUCGCUGACUUCAAAGUCGUGCACGCCGGAGUGCGUCCUCUCACAUUAAAAUCCAUCUCACCCUUUUGUGCACCACCGCGUGGGCACCCUUUGGGAUCGAAUCGAUCCAGGGAGGGGGGCUUGCGUUUUCACACAAACCCCUUUUAAAAAGUGUAGAAUGACCCCACUUUGCGAUGACACGCAAUCAAUACAACUUUCAACAACGGAUCUCUUGGCUCUCGCAUCGAUGAAGAACGCAGCGAAAUGCGAUACGUAAUGUGAAUUGCAGAAUUCAGUGAAUCAUCGAAUCUUUGAACGCACCUUGCGCCCCUUGGUAUUCCGAGGGGCACACCCGUUUGAGUGUCGUGAAAAUCUCAACCUUCUCGGUUUUCUUCUGGACGCCGAAGGAGGCUUGGACUUUGGAGGCCUUUGCUGGCAUCUCUCUCUUUUCGAGAGCCAGCUCCUCUUAAAUGAAUUAGCGGGGUCCUCUUUGCCGAUCCUUGACAUGUGAUAAGAUGUUUCCAUGACUUGGUUUCUGGCUCUGUUGCCUUUGGGACCCGCUUCUAACCGUCUCGACGAGACAAUGUUUGGGCGUGUCUCCCUUCUCGGGAAACACUCUCAACCCCAUGAACCCUUGACCUCAAAUCGGGUGAGACUACCCGCUGAACUUAAGCAUAUCAAUAAGCGGAGGA